UCAUGACUGGGGUGAAGUCGUAACAAGGUAACCGUAGGGGAACCUGCGGUUGGAUCACCUCCUUACCGAG
Molecule: ribosomal RNA, 70 nt
Filed under: Dickeya dadantii
Lineage: Bacteria; Pseudomonadati; Pseudomonadota; Gammaproteobacteria; Enterobacterales; Pectobacteriaceae
Description: partial 16S ribosomal RNA
Rfam family: Bacterial small subunit ribosomal RNA
Source: RNAcentral